CCUGGCCAGGCUCACCUGGGGCCUCACCUGCCCAGGGAUGGAGGGAACUUCAGAAACUCAGCUCUGGGCCACAGCCAGGCUUCUCUUUCUCCUCUCUCUGAGAGUUUAGCAAUGCAGCUGCAUAAAAACUUAACAAUUCUUCCUUAGAGAGUGAUAAGAAGAGGUAAUGGGACACAAAGAAAAAUUCCAUCCUUGAUCAUAUCAUCCUGUGCUGAUGGUACAAGAUUCCAUGAGAGAAGCGAAAGGGAAAAUCCUAACCCCCAACAUUGGGGCUGGAAGAAGCCACUUCUGCCCAGAUCCCUCUUGAAGGCCACAGCCCUGAAGUCCCUGCACAGGCAGCCCUGAGUCUCCAGGGACAAUGACAGGGCCGAAAGAGCUCUGGGCAGGGCACUCGUCAUGAAGCCCUUCAAACACAGGUGGGGUGAAACAAUGACCUUUGGAAAACGUUGGGUACAUUUGGUGCGAAUGGAAUGAAACCAUUUCUCAUCUAUUGAUGUUAUAAUUUUGC
Long non-coding RNA from Zonotrichia leucophrys gambelii, 508 nucleotides. RefSeq lists it as uncharacterized. NCBI's taxonomy places the organism in Eukaryota, Metazoa, Chordata, Aves, Passeriformes, Passerellidae. The record is from RefSeq and is a predicted model, not a curated record. The transcript is spliced from 3 exons.